Molecule: ribosomal RNA, 403 nt
Filed under: uncultured bacterium
Lineage: Bacteria
Description: partial 16S ribosomal RNA
Rfam family: Bacterial small subunit ribosomal RNA
Source: RNAcentral
GACGAACGCUGGCGGCGUGCCUAAUACAUGCAAGUCGAACGCAGUGGGGACGGGUGAGUAACACGUGGGUAACCUACCAUCAGAGGGGAUAACACUUGGAAACAGGUGCUAAACCGAUACUGAUGGAUGGACCUGCGGUGUAUUAGCUAGUGGGGGGGGUAACGGCUCACCAAGGCCACGAUGCAUAGCAGGCCGGAGAGGAUGAUAAGACAAACUGGAACUGAGGCACGGGCCAGAGUACUACGGGAGGCAGCAGUAGGGAAGAGGCGGGAAUGGACGAAAGUCUGACCGAGCAACGCCGAGUGGAUGAAGAAGGUUUUAGGAUAGUAAAACUCUGUUGUUAGAGAAGCGGUAUCUAACCAAGAAGCCACGGCUAACUACGUGCCAGCAGCCGCGGUAAUAC